RNAcentral lists this ribosomal RNA (274 nucleotides) under uncultured bacterium. RNAcentral's name for it is "partial 16S ribosomal RNA". It matches the Rfam family "Bacterial small subunit ribosomal RNA", at positions 523 to 796 of the family's 1533-position model. The record is from RNAcentral.
AUACAGGGGGUGCGAGCGUUAAUCGGAAUUACUGGGCGUAAAGAGUACGUAGGCGGUUGCUUAAGUCAGAUGUGAAAGCCCCGGGCUCAACCUGGGAACUGCAUUUGAAACUGAGUGACUAGAGUUUAAGAGAGGGGAGUAGAAUUCCGGGUGUAGCGGUGUAAUGCGUAGAGAUCCGGAGGAAUACCAGUGGCGAAGGCGGCUCCCUGGCUUAAAACUGACGCUGAGGUACGAAAGCGUGGGUAGCAAACAGGAUUAGAAACCCCGGUAGUCC